RNAcentral lists this ribosomal RNA (242 nucleotides) under uncultured bacterium. Its description in RNAcentral is "partial 16S ribosomal RNA". It matches the Rfam family "Bacterial small subunit ribosomal RNA", at positions 535 to 776 of the family's 1533-position model. The record is from RNAcentral.
CAAGCGUUGUUCGGAAUUACUGGGCGUAAAGGGCGCGUAGGCGGUCUUGUAAGUCUUGUGUGAAAUCCCUCGGCUUAACUGAGGAACUGCACGAGAUACUGCAAGACUUGAGAUCGGGAGAGGGAAGCGGAAUUCCGGGUGUAGCGGUGAAAUGCGUAGAUAUCCGGAGGAACACCGGUGGCGAAGGCGGCUUCCUGGACCGAUACUGACGCUGAGGCGCGAAAGCUAGGGGAGCAAACGGG